UAUUGCACAAUGGGCGCAAGCCUGAUGCAGCGACGCCGCGUGAGUGAUGAAGUAUUUCGGUANGUAAAGCUCUAUCAGCAGGGAANNCCNNNANCGUACCUGACUAAGAAGCACCGGCUAAAUACGUGCCNNNAGACGCGGUAAUACGUAUGGUGCAAGCGUUAUCCGGAUUUACUGGGUGUAAAGGGAGCGUAGACGGAGAGGCAAGUCUGAUGUGAAAACCCGGGGCUCAACCCCGGGACUGCAUUGGAAACUGUUUUUCUAGAGUGUCGGAGAGGCAAGUGGAAUUCCUAGUGUAGCGGUGAAAUGCGUAGAUAUUAGGAGGAACACCAGUGGCGAAGGCGGCUUGCUGGACGAUGACUGACGUUGAGGCUCGAAAGCGUGGGGAGCAAACAG
Molecule: ribosomal RNA, 396 nt
Filed under: uncultured bacterium
Lineage: Bacteria
Description: partial 16S ribosomal RNA
Rfam family: Bacterial small subunit ribosomal RNA
Source: RNAcentral